GCCCGGGUGGCGGAAUUGGUAGACGCGGUGGACUCAAAAUCCAUUGCCAGCGAUGGCGUGAGAGUUCAAGUCUCUCCCCGGGCACCA
This 87-nucleotide transfer RNA is filed under the name Gammaproteobacteria bacterium. RNAcentral's name for it is "tRNA-Leu". It matches the Rfam family "tRNA". From Rfam's summary of the family: Transfer RNA (tRNA) molecules are approximately 80 nucleotides in length. Their secondary structure includes four short double-helical elements and three loops (D, anti-codon, and T loops). Lineage: Bacteria; Pseudomonadati; Pseudomonadota; Gammaproteobacteria. The record is from RNAcentral.